UACGUAGGGUGCGAGCGUUGCCCGGAUUUAUUGGGCGUAAAGGGCGCGCAGGCGGUCGUGCAAGUCGCGUGUGAAAGCCCCCGGCUCAACUGGGGAGGGUCACGCGAUACUGCUCGACUUGAAGGCAGGAGAGGGAAGUGGAAUUCCCGGUGUAGUGGUGAAAUGCGUAGAUAUCGGGAGGAACACCAGUGGCGAAGGCGACUUCCUGGCCUGUUCUUGACGCUGAGGCGCGAAAGCUAGGGUAGCAAACGGG
This 253-nucleotide ribosomal RNA is filed under the name uncultured bacterium. RNAcentral's name for it is "partial 16S ribosomal RNA". It matches the Rfam family "Bacterial small subunit ribosomal RNA", at positions 524 to 776 of the family's 1533-position model. The record is from RNAcentral.